CACGUCCCCCGGGUCAGAGCGCAUCUACACGUACGCCCGGCCUCCUCUUCAACUGAGGCGAGUAUAACUAGCCACCCAUAGCGUGGACGCGGAAACUUUCCAAGGCGCGCAACGGCCUCUGCCCCGAUCCCGGAGCAGAGCAACAGAUAGAACCCUUCCUCCCUCUCGCGAGAUCGACCGACGCCGGUAAGAUGCUGCCGUACGCGACGGCCGGCGAGGCGGAGGCGGCGCUCGGCCGCGCCCUGACGUGGGCGGAGGCCGCGUGGCUCCGCUACUCGGCGUCGGUGCCGGACCGCUACCUCCACUGGCCCAACAUCGCCAUCACAUUGGUCGUCUACACGCUGGCGCCGCUGCCCCUCGCCCUCUUCGACCUCGCCGCGCCGGCCGCCGCCGCACCGUACAAGCUGCAGCCCAAGGUGCAGCACCCGCCGUCCACCUUCUUCCGCUGCUACAUGGACGCCGUUCGUGUCUCCCUCCUCAUCAUCGGACCAUAUCAGCUCAUCUCGUAUCCUGCCGCCAAGAUAAUGGACAUACGGACGGGACUUCCAUUGCCGUCAAUGGGGGAGAUAGCGGCGCAACUGACGGUAUACUUCUUGGUGGAAGACUAUCUGAACUAUUGGCUCCAUCGGCUCUUGCACACUAAAUGGGGCUAUGAAAAGAUCCACCAUGUUCACCAUGAGUUCACGGCUCCCAUGGCAUAUGCUGCAUGGUACGGACACUGGGCUGAGAUGCUCAUCCUUGCGGUGCCCUCCUUGGCUGGCCCUGCUCUUGUCCCAUGCCAUGUUACCACGUUGUGGAUCUGGUUUGCUGCACGCUUGGUUGAGAGCCUCAACAUACAUAGCGGAUUUAAGUUGCCAUUCAACGCUGAGAAGUAUAUACCGUUCUAUGGAGGGGCAGAGCACCAUGACUACCAUCACUAUAUAGGAGGACAGAGCAAGAGCAACUUCGCUCCUGUUUUCACCUACUGUGAUUAUAUUUAUGGAACGGACAAGGGCUACAGAUAUCACAAGGCAACUCUGGCAAAGCUGAAGGAGUUGGCAGGCAGCGACGUUCAGAAAGGAGUCGACAAUGGAUUCAACGGUGGAAAGCAGGACUAGAGAGAGGUUGGCUUCAGAGGACUCAUGGUCAUACAAAUCCUAUCAUUAAUUCAAGUGGUCUCCGGAUAUAUAUCCCCAUGAUGGAGUACACUAGUAUAAAUAAUUGUUCUAUGCCAAUCAACAACGUUGAGUGGCUCGUGAACCACCGGCAGAGUCGUUCCAAGUGUUAAUUAUUUCCAGUUCUCCCUCCAUUCGUACACAUAGCUCCACUACUUCUCUAUUAUCGGAUGUAAUAAUGAUGCUUAGUUCGUGAUAUGCUUGAUAGUGUGCGUCUUUGCAUACUACGUGACAUGUCUCUAGCAAGCAGGCAUGUGGGAACAGACAAAUAUGGAGACAUAGUCGAGAGCAUUUGCCUUUGUACUUCCAAUAUCAGACGUUGUACAUAAUUGGACAAUCUAUCUUUUUCCCUAUAUUUACGAUAUAUGUCGUCUUUCGGUGAUCAAUAUUUUUUGUGAGGUUUUCUUUUGGGGGGAAUUUUUUAUGAGCAAUACCAGUAUGAGACUACAAAAUUCUACAGGAUCACCUUGGCGAUCUUGUUAGUUAGAAUUGAUGUGUUUGGUUUUAGCCUAACUUCUACAACAAAAUAGUUGGCUAACCAAAAUUUUGAUGAAACUUUUGCUUGCCUUUGAGUUUGUUAACAUCGUCUAGAAAAAUAAAUUUGAAUGGGUACAAAAACAUUGGCAUGCAAAGACAUUGAUGGCCAUGCAAACAUAGACCAACCUUUUUUUUUUGUCAUGAACAAAAAGUUGAUAGGGCAUAUGAGUGUUGGCUACCAUCCAAACACACCCAAAGUGUUCUCACAAGUAUUAUUCCUUGAUCGCCCGAGAAAUCUCCAAAAAGCAUUCAUGCAAGGAUGUUUUUUAGCUUCUUCGUUCUACGGGCUCCUAUCUAUCGCGUUGCUUGUGCUUUAUCUAUAAAGCGAGGUGAUAACCCAUUUCGUAUCUAUUGUGUCACUUUUGCAGUGUUUUACACCUGGCAGAGAGAGCAAAUCACUACAAGGUUCACGAUCGCGACUGCAAACUAUGGCUUGUAAAUAAAGGAAAGAACAUCCAAAUGUACGAGAAGAUACAAUUAGCAAAAUGUUAGCCCGGGAAUUGUCGCUUUUGUACGGUAAAGUUAUCCAUGGACCGGAGGGGAUAGAUUUCCCCAGUUACUUGUAACGUGUGGAAGAGUGGAUAGUGCCCUGCCCGUAGUGCGCGGAACCCAUGUUGGUAUAUUUCUUAUCGUGAACGUGACAUCGCAUUGCAAACUUGAA
Molecule: ribosomal RNA, 2352 nt
Filed under: Triticum aestivum (bread wheat)
Lineage: Eukaryota; Viridiplantae; Streptophyta; Magnoliopsida; Poales; Poaceae
Description: partial small subunit ribosomal RNA
Source: RNAcentral